RNAcentral lists this ribosomal RNA (253 nucleotides) under uncultured bacterium. RNAcentral describes it as "partial 16S ribosomal RNA". It matches the Rfam family "Bacterial small subunit ribosomal RNA", at positions 524 to 776 of the family's 1533-position model. The record is from RNAcentral.
UACGUAGGGGGCUAGCGUUGUCCGGAAUUAUUGGGCGUAAAGAGCUCGUAGGCGGUCUGUCGCGUCGGCUGUGAAAACCCGGAGCUCAACUCCGGGCCUGCAGUCGAUACGGGCAGACUGGAGUUCGGCAGGGGAGACUGGAAUUCCUGGUGUAGCGGUGAAAUGCGCAGAUAUCAGGAGGAACACCGGUGGCGAAGGCGGGUCUCUGGGCCGAUACUGACGCUGAGGAGCGAAAGCGUGGGGAGCGAACAGG